GAUGAACGCUGGCGGCGUGCCUAAUACAUGCAAGUCGAGCGAACAGAUGAGGAGCUUGCUCCUCUGACGUUAGCGGCGGACGGGUGAGUAACACGUGGAUAACCUACCUAUAAGACUGGGAUAACUACGGGAAACCGGAGCUAAUACCGGAUAAUAUAUUGAACCGCAUGGUUCAAUAGUGAAAGACGGUUUUGUUGUCACUUAUAGAUGGAUCCGCGCCGCAUUAGCUAGUUGGUAAGGUAACGGCUUACCAAGGCAACGAUGCGUAGCCGACCUGAGAGGGUGAUCGGCCACACUGGAACUGAGACACGGUCCAGACUCCUACGGGAGGCAGCAGUAGGGAAUCUUCCGCAAUGGGCGAAAGCCUGACGGAGCAACGCCGCGUGAGUGAUGAAGGUCUUCGGAUCGUAAAACUCUGUUAUUAGGGAAGAACAAAUGUGUAAGUAACUAUGCACGUCUUGACGGUACCUAAUCAGAAAGCCACGGCUAACUACGUG
Molecule: ribosomal RNA, 497 nt
Filed under: uncultured bacterium
Lineage: Bacteria
Description: partial 16S ribosomal RNA
Rfam family: Bacterial small subunit ribosomal RNA
Source: RNAcentral